This 70-nucleotide transfer RNA is filed under the name Exorista sorbillans. RNAcentral describes it as "tRNA-Ala". It matches the Rfam family "tRNA". Rfam says of the family: Transfer RNA (tRNA) molecules are approximately 80 nucleotides in length. Their secondary structure includes four short double-helical elements and three loops (D, anti-codon, and T loops). Further hydrogen bonds mediate the characteristic L-shaped molecular structure. tRNAs have two regions of fundamental functional importance: the anti-codon, which is responsible for specific mRNA codon recognition, and the 3' end, to which the tRNAs corresponding amino acid is attached (by aminoacyl-tRNA synthetases). tRNAs cope with the degeneracy of the genetic code in two manners: having more than one tRNA (with a specific anti-codon) for a particular amino acid; and 'wobble' base-pairing, i.e. permitting non-standard base-pairing at the 3rd anti-codon position. The record is from RNAcentral. Lineage: Eukaryota; Metazoa; Arthropoda; Insecta; Diptera; Tachinidae.
AGGGUUGUAGUUUAAUAAUAACAUUUGAUUUGCAUUCAAAAAAUAUUGAAUUUAUCUUCAAUCUACCUUA